Non-coding RNA from Podarcis lilfordi (Lilford's wall lizard), 74 nucleotides. The record is from the annotation of a GenBank genome assembly. NCBI's taxonomy places the organism in Eukaryota, Metazoa, Chordata, Lepidosauria, Squamata, Lacertidae.
UCCCCAAGCUCAGCUGGUUAGAGCGGGGUGCUGAUUAACACCAAGGUUGCAGGUUCGAUCCCUGUAUGGGACAG